AUUAACKCGAARCACSUUMCCAAGGCKUGACAUACACCGGACGCAUCCAGAGAUGGGUGUUCCUUCGGGCUGGUGUACAGGUGGUGCAUGGUUGUCGUCAGCUCGUGUCGUGAGAUGUUGGGUUAAGUCCCGCAACGAGCGCAACCCUCGUUCCAUGUUGCCAGCAACRCUUCGGUGGUUGGGGACUCAUGGGAGACUGCCGGGGUCAACUCGGAGGAAGGUGGGGAUGACGUCAAAUCAUCAUGCCCCUUAUSUCUUGGGCUUCACSCAUGCUACAAUGGCCGGUACAAAGGGCUGSGAAACCGCGAGGUGGAG
Molecule: ribosomal RNA, 315 nt
Filed under: Terracoccus sp.
Lineage: Bacteria; Bacillati; Actinomycetota; Actinomycetes; Micrococcales; Intrasporangiaceae
Description: partial 16S ribosomal RNA
Rfam family: Bacterial small subunit ribosomal RNA
Source: RNAcentral